CCUACGGGAGGCAGCAGUGGGGAAUAUUGGACAAUGGGCGAAAGCCUGAUCCAGCAAUGCCGCGUGAGUGAUGAAGGCCUUCGGGUCGUAAAGCUCUUUUACCAGGGAUGAUAAUGACAGUACCUGGAGAAUAAGCUCCGGCUAACUCCGUGCCAGCAGCCGCGGUAAUACGGAGGGAGCUAGCGUUGUUCGGAAUUACUGGGCGUAAAGAGUACGUAGGCGGUUAUUCAAGUCAGAGGUGAAAGCCCGGGGCUCAACCCCGGAACUGCCUUUGAAACUAGAUAACUAGAGUCUUGGAGAGGUUAGUGGAAUUCCGAGUGUAGAGGUGAAAUUCGUAGAUAUUCGGAAGAACACCAGUGGCGAAGGCGACUAACUGGACAAGUACUGACGCUGAGGUACGAAAGCGUGGGGAGCAAACAGGAUUAGAUACCCUGGUAGUCCACGCCGUAAACGAUGAUAACUAGUUGUUCGGUCACUUGGUGACUGAGUGACGCAGCUAACGCAUUAAGUUAUCCGCCUGGGGAGUACGGUCGCAAGAUUAAACUUAAAGGAAUUGACGG
Molecule: ribosomal RNA, 560 nt
Filed under: uncultured bacterium
Lineage: Bacteria
Description: bacterial SSU rRNA
Rfam family: Bacterial small subunit ribosomal RNA
Source: RNAcentral